Molecule: long non-coding RNA, 4891 nt
Organism: Marmota monax (woodchuck)
Lineage: Eukaryota; Metazoa; Chordata; Mammalia; Rodentia; Sciuridae
Exons: 4
Source: RefSeq, a predicted model, not a curated record
GUGUGUGACACUUCCAGUUUUAAUUCUUUGAGGGACCCAGGGCAGUUGUCUUAGCAGUGAACAGCCUCCCCGUCCCCCCACAUCCUGCUGACACGUAUCUUCUGGGUUUGGGUGGUCGCCAUCCUGGUGGGUGUGUGGUGACUCGCUGUGGUUGAGAUGGCAUGUCCCUGUGGCUGGGGACGUGCAGCUGGGUGGCCCUCUCCGUAUCUGGUGCUCCUUUGUGGACUGUCUUUGGGGAAAUGUCCUCCCAAGUCUGUGGCCCGUCUUUGACUGAGGUAUUUCAUUCCUGGCUGUUGAGUUCUUGAUACAUUCCAGUCAUCAACGCUCAUCAGACAGGUGACAGCAACCACUUCCCGCAUUCCAGAGGUCACUCUCGGGGCGCAGCCUUCGAUGACGCGAGGUUCAGUCUGCAGAUCAGUGUGCUAUUUGUCACACUCAAGAUCGGGCCACGGUCACCACCACCUAGUUCUGGGAUUUUCUUCAUCACUCCAGAUGGAAAUCCUUUACCCAUUGAGCAGAAACUUCCCAUUUCCCCUGCCCUACGCCCUGGAAACCACCGUUGCACUUUCUGUCCCUGUGAAUGUGCCUGUUUUGGAUAUUUUAUACAAAUGAAAUCUGUAUUAGUUAGGGUUUUCCAGAGAAAGAGAACCAACCAGAAAAUUCUGCUUAUUCCAAUCAUACAUUAUGAUUAAAAUAAUAUGUAAAAAUGACAUUAGUACAAUUAGUAUACUAACAUAGUACAUACAAUUAUAUAUCAUUUAUCAUUAUUAUUAUAAUUAUGUAUCUAAUUAUUAUCAACUUAUCAUGUAUUAUGUGUUAUUAUGUAUCAUUUUGUCAUCACAUACUAACUACACGAUAGUUAUGUAUUUAAGUUAUUAUACUAACAUGUGCUACCUGUGAUGUAUGCUUAGAUACACACAGAGACUGAUCCUGAGAGGUCUGCUUAUGAGCGUAAGGGGCUGAGGAGGCCGGGGAAGCUGCUGCUGGUCCCACCCCAAGCCUGAAGGCCUGAGAGCUGGGAGUCCCAGCCCGAGUCCCAAGGCGUGUUCAGGGACCCCCUACACUGGGGGACAGGAUGUGGUUUUCUCCGUCUGUGAUUCAGACUCCAGUCUCUUCUGGAAACAUCCUCAGAGGCCCACCCAGAAGUCACGCCGUCCAGCUUCUGGGUCGCCCCUCGCCCAGUGACAUUGACAGAACUGUAGGACAUGUGUCACCUAGCACACUGCACCCCAGGAUCGGGGUGUUCAGCAGCAUCUCGUUCCUUCUCUGGUGAAGUGACCUCCCUGUGGUCGCAGGCCCUGUCUGUCCACUCACACUAGAUGAGUUGGGUUGUUUCUGCUUUUGGGGGAUGAGCUUUGCUCUGGGGACAGGAGACACGGGGCUUCCAUCUUUCGCGUCCCCUGGGGAGGACUUCCGAUUCUCCUGGGCAGAUGAGGAGUGUAGAAGUGCCCCUGCUCUCGAGCAGCUUCCCAGCCUUGUCACUGUUGACCCGGGGCGGGGGCAGAUGCCUCUUUAUCAUGGGCGCAGACUGGGCAGCACGUUUAGCAGCGUCCUUGGCCUCUGCCCACCGGAUUUCAGAAGUACCCAUCCCCCAGUGAUGGAAAUCAGCGCAUCUCCAGAUGUGGUCAACGUCUCUGAUGACAAAAUCGACCCUGGGUGGGAAUGAUCUUCUCUGUGUCUGGGAUUUGGAUGUGGAUAAGUUGUGUUCUUAACACCUCUAUGUGUGACAUUGAGUCUAGAGAGGCUGGCGGGAGGGCAAGGAAGGAGACGGGGCAGGUGACAUCUUGGUGGCUGGUCAUUCUCAGAAAUCAACACAAGUGGCCGGGCGCAGUGGCACACGCCUGUAACCCCAGAGGCUCAUGAGGCUGAGGCAGGAGGAUCGCGAGUUCAAAGCCAGCCUCAACAAUGGUGAGGGCUAAGCUACUCAGGGAGACCCUGUCUCUAAAUAAAAUACAAAAUAGGGCUGGGAUGUGGCUCAGAGGUUGAGUGCCCCUGAGUUCAGUCCCUGGUACCCACCCACAAAAAAAAAAAAAAACCAACACAAGCGCCUCUCCAGUGAGCACACGAGGCCAAGCACUCUCCAGUGAGCACACACGGCAUGCUCCAACACGCUGAGCAGAAUGACAACUCUGUUUUUUUGUUGUGAUUCAGGAGCUCUGUUUGCUCAGUGAGGACUCUAAAGACCCCUGUCCCCUGUGCCUUUGGGGAAUGUUGUCCCUGGCUCUCCAAAGUUAUUUUAAAAUAUAAAGACAUGACACAUAAGCAGUUCCCACCAAGAGCUGUUUGAUUUUAAGGAAGGUUCAUGAUUACCAAGGAAAAUAACCCACAGAAUCAGGGAACUAGACAGAUUUCAGUUCUCUUUGAUCCGAGCACAACAUCACAGAUUCUGAAAUUAACUCUUCCAUCUACAACAGCUCCACUUCCUCUUAUUUCUAUUCCUUAUUCACAUGAAUUGAAUUGCAUAAGCUCUGCUGGCAAUCACUGAAGGGCAGUUUCUGCUAAAUUGUGACCCACAUAAUCCGGAACGCCCUUGGGGACAAGGAGGGGACACUGGCUGAUUCCUGGGUGCUUGUUUGGAUAGCAGCUCGACUGCGUGGACCUGGACUAGCUAACCCACUCACCCCUUUAUUCCAGGGUUCAGCUGGCAGUUAGGCCUGGGUCACCCCUCACUGGGGAGGGUUCCUCGCACUGUAGGACAUUUAGCACCAUCCUGGCCCUCGUCCAGUAGCGCCAGUAGACACUCCCCAGGUGACAGCAGGAGCACCUCCAGGCGCUGCAGGGCUUCCCGGCCACACCCUCUUCAGAACUGCUGCUGCCUUCUCUUCUCAUUCAUUUAUUUCCAUUAAAUCAGCAGAAAUUUCAUGCCCUCUGUGUGCCAGGCACCGACCGCGAAGGGGACACAGCGCAGCAGGCGGCGGGGUCUCUGCCCUCGUGGAGCGGACGUUUCAACCUGUUCCUCUGGAUCUGGAGCGUCCUUGUAUUCUAGAAAGCAGGAAUACUUUUAAAAUGUCACAGGCUGUUCUAGGAGGACACGGAAGCCGGUUUAGGGGACUCCCACAGGACAGGUUGUGGCAGGGACUGAAUGUGCGCCGAUGACUGCACUCAGUUUUCCACCAACAAUGGCCUUGUGCCCAAGACCUCGAGCAUCCUCCGGUGCACCCCGACUCCAGAAUACUGAAGUGUGAGGAAGGACAGGAUGUCUCCGUCUUGCAGACGGGGAAACGGGAGCUCCCAGGACCAGGACCCAAGUUGAUAUUUGGUGUCUUCAGAACCUGCCAGAUUCUGGAAGAAUCUAAUAAUGCUUCAGGUGAAAAGGCACAUGAGUGGGUGAAUUCUGCUUCCUGUUUGCAGUGCAGAAAACUAAAAAAUCACCCCCACUCAGAGGAGGUGGAAGCAAGGACCAGCUUCUACCUCCCUGAGGUGCCGCCUGCCCUUAGGGCCUCGCUGCUGCUGACCCCCGCUGCGGCUUCUGAAGGUCAGUCCCGGGCCCUCUGCUCUGUUGUCUUUCCUGAGUCCCCUGUUUUAAGAGGUGGGGGACGGCAGCUGCCCCCAGGGUCUCCUCCCCUUGCCCUGAGCGCUCUGCCUGUCCAAACCACCCAACAAACACAGCGUGCACAUACAGGGUCCCAGCCCUUCCACGUGAGUGUCCACAGAGCUAAUGCUGGGUGACGGACGGGCCCCUGAGCCGCUGCGGGUGACCAGCGCUGUCCUCUCACUUGGGGCCUCAAGGUCGGGAAUUGAAGAAGCUUAGCUGGGGGCUGUGGCUCGGGUCUCAGGGGGUCGCAGUUAGGGGCUCUCCGCUGGGUUGGGGGGAGCUGUUCCAAGAUGGCAUCAUCCAAAGGCUCCGCGGUUGGCUGGAGGCCUCAGUUCCGGCCGGAUGGGCCUCUCCACGAGGCUGCUCACAGCAUGGCAGCUGGACUCCACCCAGGCGCACAAGGGACAGAGCCACAGAGAGAGACUGAGAAAGAAGCUGCCGUGAUGACCCGCCUCCCUGCAUGUCUCUUCUGCUGUCCCUGUCAGCCAUUCUCAACGCCUGUCUUUGGUUCUUUGGGCCCGUGUCUUUGGAAAACUCUGAGCUGUGGCUAAUAGAUAGGUUCAGAGGUCCAGCGGGGUCAGGGAGUGCCUGGAAGCCCCGACCUGGCCUGUGCCCGGGGGGACCCGCAGUGCCGCCUCUUCUGCAGCCUGCGCUGGAGGCGGGGACCCACCCUCGGGGCCCAGCCUGGGCUGAGCCCCCAGAGCCGGCUGCGCUGACCCUGGGCAUUCUGAUGCCGAGCAGACCUGCCCCGGCCGUCGGGAUGUCUCUUUAAAAAGAAAUAAAGAACAGAAACAAGAGGGGAAAACUGUGGGCACCAGAGGGAAGUCUGCUCUUUCAGUCACUUCCACACACAGACCUGUGCUGUGUGACCUUUGAACAGAAACAGCACACAGCCCUCGGCUCCUCCUGGACGUCCUGACAGCCCGGAACCCGCCCUUGUGGGCACAGGCAGGGAGCAGGGCACGGCUGGGCAGCGGGAGGAGAAGCAGACCCGCCAGGUGACUGGGUCCCCUCCUUGCAGCAGACAAAGCACCUGAGCGUGAGUGGGCGUCUGCGCCCGAGAAAUGAAUAGCAGCCGGGGCCCAUUUUUACCAGCGGGGAAACAUGGGUCUAAGAAAAGACUUCCAGGAAGGGCAUCAGCUGCCGUCUCUGCCUUGCCUUCUCAAAAGCCUCCACAACUGAGUCCAACAGCGAGUCUAGUGGCCUCGGCCACACCACAGACCCCACCCGCCUCUCAGCCGCCGCUCUUACCAGCAGAGUAGACUGGAAGGGACGAUGACGCAUGUGUCCCUGAGACUCGUGCCACACUGAACGGCAGAGUGCUCCCGAGGGCCUCGAGGGGACGGAACUGAAAAC